AUAACUAACUAGGGGCGCAAUCUGCUGAGACGGUUUUAUCCGAACCCUUUGAACCUGUGAGCUAACACUCGCGAAGGAAAGUUAACGUAUAAUCAA
Molecule: non-coding RNA, 96 nt
Filed under: Secundilactobacillus collinoides
Lineage: Bacteria; Bacillati; Bacillota; Bacilli; Lactobacillales; Lactobacillaceae
Also listed under: 1 other name
Description: Lactobacillus collinoides TPP sequence
Rfam family: TPP riboswitch aptamer (THI element)
About the family: Vitamin B(1) in its active form thiamin pyrophosphate (TPP) is an essential coenzyme that is synthesised by coupling of pyrimidine and thiazole moieties in bacteria. The previously detected thiamin-regulatory element, thi box was extended, resulting in a new, highly conserved RNA secondary structure, the THI element, which is widely distributed in eubacteria and also occurs in some archaea. Analysis of operon structures identified a large number of new candidate thiamin-regulated genes, mostly transporters, in various prokaryotic organisms.
Source: RNAcentral